GGGGGAUAUUGCACAAUGGAGGAAACUCUGAUGCAGCAACGCCGCGUGAGGGAAGAAGGUUUUCGGAUUGUAAACCUCUGUCCUCAGGGACGAUAAUGACGGUACCUGAGGAGGAAGCUCCGGCUAACUACGUGCCAGCAGCCGCGGUAAUACGUAGGGAGCAAGCGUUGUCCGGAUUUACUGGGUGUAAAGGGUGCGUAGGCGGCUCUGCAAGUCAGGUGUGAAAACUAUGGGCUUAACCCAUAGACUGCAUUUGAAACUGUGGGGCUUGAGUGAAGUAGAGGCAGGCGGAAUUCCCGGUGUAGCGGUGAAAUGCGUAGAGAUCGGGAGGAACACCAGUGGCGAAGGCGGCCUGCUGGGCUUUAACUGACGCUGAGGCACGAAAGCAUGGGUAGCAAAC
This 400-nucleotide ribosomal RNA is filed under the name uncultured bacterium. RNAcentral describes it as "bacterial SSU rRNA". It matches the Rfam family "Bacterial small subunit ribosomal RNA", at positions 356 to 773 of the family's 1533-position model. The record is from RNAcentral.